RNAcentral lists this ribosomal RNA (234 nucleotides) under uncultured bacterium. RNAcentral describes it as "partial 16S ribosomal RNA". It matches the Rfam family "Bacterial small subunit ribosomal RNA", at positions 100 to 334 of the family's 1533-position model. The record is from RNAcentral.
CGGGACGGGUGAGUAAUGUCUAGGGAAACUGCCUGAGGGAGGGGGAAUAACACUGGAAACGGUAGCUAAUACCGCAUAACGUCGCAAGACCAAAGAGGGGGACCUUCGGGCCUCUUGCCAUCGGAUGUGCCCAGAUGGGAUUAGCUAGUAGGUGGGGUAACGGCUCACCUAGGCGACGAUCCCUAGCUGGUCUGAGAGGAUGACCAGCCACACUGGAACUGAGACACGGUCCAG